AUUGAACGCUGGCGGCAUGCUUUACACAUGCAAGUCGAACGGCAGCGCGGGCUUCGGCCUGGCGGCGAGUGGCGAACGGGUGAGUAAUGCAUCGGAACGUGCCCAGUAGUGGGGGAUAGCCCGGCGAAAGCCGGAUUAAUACCGCAUACGACCUGAGGGUGAAAGCGGGGGACCGAAAGGCCUCGCGCUAUUGGAGCGGCCGAUGUCGGAUUAGCUAGUUGGUGGGGUAAAGGCUUACCAAGGCGACGAUCCGUAGCUGGUCUGAAAGGACGACCAGCCACACUGGGACUGAGACACGGCCCAGACUCCUACGGGAGGCAGCAGUGGGGAAUUUUGGACAAUGGGGGCAACCCUGAUCCAGCCAUGCCGCGUGCGGGAAGAAGGCCUUCGGGUUGUAAACCGCUUUUGUUCGGGAAGAAAUCCUCUGGGCUAAUACCCCGGGGGGAUGACGGUACCGGAAGAAUAAGCACCGGCUAACUACGUG
Molecule: ribosomal RNA, 484 nt
Filed under: uncultured bacterium
Lineage: Bacteria
Description: partial 16S ribosomal RNA
Rfam family: Bacterial small subunit ribosomal RNA
Source: RNAcentral